AUACGUAGGAUCCGAGCGUUAUCCGGAAUUACUGGGUUUAAAGGGUGCGUAGGCGGAUAUAUAAGUCCGUGGUGAAAUCCUAUAGCUUAACUAUAGAAUUGCCAUAGAUACUGUAUGUCUAGAGUGUAGGCGAAGUAUGAGGAAUGUGACAAGUAGCGGUGAAAUGCGUAGAUAUGUCACAGAACACCGAUAGCGAAGGCAUCGUACUAGCACUAUACUGACGCUGAGGCACGAAAGCGUGGGGAUCAAACAGGAUUAGAUACCCUGGUAGUCCACGCUGUAAACGAUGAUAACUAGAUGUAUGCUAAUAUAGUAUGUGUCGUAGCGAAAGCGAUAAGUUAUCCACCUGGGGAGUACGGUCGCAAGGCUGAA
RNAcentral lists this ribosomal RNA (372 nucleotides) under uncultured bacterium. RNAcentral's name for it is "bacterial SSU rRNA". It matches the Rfam family "Bacterial small subunit ribosomal RNA", at positions 523 to 898 of the family's 1533-position model. The record is from RNAcentral.